UACAGGGGGGCAAGCGUUGUUCGGAAUUACUGGGCGUAAAGGGCUCGUAGGCGGCCAACUAAGUCAGACGUGAAAUCCCUCGGCUUAACCGGGGAACUGCAUCUGAUACUGGAUGGCUUGAGUUCGGGAGAGGGAUGCGGAAUUCCAGGUGUAGCGGUGAAAUGCGUAGAUAUCUGGAGGAACACCGGUGGCGAAGGCGGCAUCCUGGACCGGCACUGACGCUGAGGAGCGAAGCCAGGGAGCAAACGGG
RNAcentral lists this ribosomal RNA (250 nucleotides) under uncultured bacterium. RNAcentral describes it as "partial 16S ribosomal RNA". It matches the Rfam family "Bacterial small subunit ribosomal RNA", at positions 524 to 776 of the family's 1533-position model. The record is from RNAcentral.